UCUGUUGAUGAUGAAGAUCUGAUCUCAUAUGUUGUUGGAGGCCUCAAUCCCUCAUACCAUCCUUUUAUCACCUCUCUUCACUUUGCUACUCGAGAGUCCUCUAUUACUUUUGAUGAUUUCCAAACAGAGUUGCUCAACUUUGAGC
Juglans regia (Persian walnut) is the source of this 145-nucleotide small nucleolar RNA. RefSeq annotates it as small nucleolar RNA Z247. NCBI's taxonomy places the organism in Eukaryota, Viridiplantae, Streptophyta, Magnoliopsida, Fagales, Juglandaceae. The transcript has a single exon. The record is from RefSeq and is a predicted model, not a curated record.